GUGCUCACAACUAACCACACAAUUAGUGCUUUGAUGAAAAAGCUGAGUGUGUUUUGGGGUUCUUUAAGAGGGGGAGUUCCAGUGGGGCCACUCUUGUCUCAGUAGAAGCCACAUGCAAUUGACACCUCUUUUGCUUGACUCACACACUGUGCUUAGGAACUGGGAAAAGUGAACCAGCUCUUACCAGGUACUUUCUCUCUUACAGAGAACUGGUUGUGCUUGGGAAAGAUUUUUAGACAAUAAUAAACUGGAAAUUUGAGAGAGGAAAGUACAGUCUAAACCUUCACCUGGUAAUGGAUGAAGAGCAAGGAGAGUGGGACCACCCUCUCAUUCUUUUCCCAAACAUGGAUGGAUGUGAGCAGGGGACUAUGACCCAAGGGUCAGGGGGAAAGGAGAAAUGGAAUGGCUUCAAGGAUGAAGAGGCUUGACUGAAGAUUUGGUUUGAAUGAGUAACUCACUGUUUCCCACCAAUUAAAAAAACCUCAUAUCUCUGUGUAAGCCCCACAUGGCUACUCCAUUAUCUGAGACUCCAAGUUCUCUGAGACUAAUAAAGACUCUGAGUAGCCCUCUCAAUAAGUGGAUUUGGAACUGUUCUGGAAGAAAGAAAAAUUUCCAAGAAGACUCAGUUUCUGAAAGGCACAGGCAAGAAAUGUCCCCUGUGCUCAGCUCACAUAUUCAGCUCUUGAGGAACUCGGGGAACUUAUCGCCCCUCCAUCCAGCCACUGAUUUUUCUGAUGGUUCCUGUCUUUGAAACAUCUCUCAUUCAGGCUAAAAAAAAUGGUUUCUUUUUGUAUGCUGUGAAGAGGACAACAAAAUAGGUGUAAAUUUUCUUUAUAGAGAUAUGUGAAUUGAUUAUGAAAAUGGGGUAGAACAACACUGAAAUAUAAUAUUAAAUUAUAUCUUUUUGUCAGCCUGGUUGAGUGA
RNAcentral lists this long non-coding RNA (924 nucleotides) under Homo sapiens (human). Its description in RNAcentral is "HSALNT0185602". The record is from RNAcentral. Lineage: Eukaryota; Metazoa; Chordata; Mammalia; Primates; Hominidae.